This 460-nucleotide ribosomal RNA is filed under the name uncultured bacterium. RNAcentral's name for it is "partial 16S ribosomal RNA". It matches the Rfam family "Bacterial small subunit ribosomal RNA", at positions 338 to 795 of the family's 1533-position model. The record is from RNAcentral.
CCUACGGGUGGCAGCAGUGAGGAAUAUUGGUCAAUGGGCGCGAGCCUGAACCAGCCACGUAGCGUGAAGGAUGACUGCCCUACGGGUUGUAAACUUCUUUUAUAAAGGAAUAAAGUGAGGCACGUGUGCCUUUUUGUAUGUACUUUAUGAAUAAGGAUCGGCUUACUCCGUGCCCGCAGCCGCGGUAAUACGGAGGAUCCGAGCGUUAUCCGGAUUUGUUGGGUUUAAAGGGAGCGUAGAUGGGUUGUUAAGUCAGUUGUGAAAGUUUGCGGCUCAACCGUAAAAUUGCAAUUGAUACUGGCAGUCGUGAGUACAGUUGAGGUAGGCGGAAUUCGUGGUGUAGCGGUGAAAUGCUUAGAUAUCACGAAGAACUCCGAUUGCGAAGGCAGCUUACUAAACUGCCACUGACAUUGAUGCUCGAAAGUGUGGGUAUCAAACAGGAUUAGAUACCCGAGUAGUC